CUGGCCGUACAUUAUUAUCUGUCCACUCAAUGCAUUAGCCUGGGGUUGAGGAAUUUUGCCAUCUGUAAUGUUCUCAGCUGCAUCUCCUUUCAUAUACAUGAAAUUGGAGGUAUACUAUUCAAUUACAGUUGCAACAUUCUAUGCUAACUUACUAGGCAUGGACAACAUUUUCUUGAAAUAUUUGCUAUUUGAACUCAUUAAAUAAUGCACUUGGUAAAUGAUAGUACAUGAAAUAUUAGUUAUAACAGAGUAGACUUUCUAGUGUACUGUGUAUCAUGAUAAUGCAUGUCAGAGAGAUUUCAUAAUUUAUCUGAGCAAAUACUUAGUGCUGGAAUAAUAUCAGAAAGUGCUCUAUGUUUUAUCUGUUAUUAUUUGCUUUCAGUGUGCUGCAUUCUCUGUAGUUUGAAAAUUGUUUUCUGCAAUAAGAUCUGGUCAAUAAACCUUGUUGCUGUGUGGUGCUUUUCUCCGGUUAGACAUCUUGGUUGUGAACUCGAUCGAUGUGAUUAUUCAAUUUUAGUCCUUGACUAUGUCCUCAAUUUUGUUGUGACUCGUUGAACAUUGUAAAUUGUCCGUUGACCAUGAAGUUGUGAACACUUCACCGCUAACUUCAUUUCUUGAGCCUCAAAAAGAAUUUUGGCCUGCAUGGAGAAGCAGGACUUGAAUAAGUUACAACAUGGUCAACCAUGGACCAUGUGGAUGCCAUAUGACAAAUAUUCAUUAGAAUACAAAAUGGAGCAAAGUGGUAAAUAAAUAACAUAGUAGGGAGAAGGUUUCCUAACAUUUAAACAGGUGGGUGACACCGUUUCAAGGGACUAAAAAAUCGCAAUACUCUCUCAAAACAACAUGUUAUUAAUACAUAUCUUCUGGUUAUUAGCAUUAUCUGUUGGAGUUAAUGUUAUCUAAGUAUCUGAAAUUCAUCUGUAUCCAGCUUCACAGAGCUCUGCAAUAACGGUCAUGAGGCAAAGGAUUUCUCUGGUGUAUUUCGGUACUAUUACUCUGGAAAGGAUGAGCAGUAAUCCCCUCAGCUAAGGUAGAUGUCUUGGCUAGAGUUUCUGGUUCCACAAUUCGGAAUCCGGAAAGCUUGAUCCAAGAUUACUUGCUUGGUGCCCUGCAGAAAAAAUAAAAAUCUGUAUAGUAGAUGUUUUUAAUCCUUUUCUUCUUGCAUUUCAACAAUUCACUUGGUUGGAAUUGUGUAUAAAUGAUGAACAGUGAAGUUAGUGGACUGAUUUUUUAAUUUUACUGAUGUUAUAUGAAGUUUCCACUAAUGGUGUUAGAUACUUAAAUUUAAAUGGGAAAAGGCAUAAAUUCACCCCUAAAGUUGUCCCGAAAAGCCAGUUACACACUUAAACUAUUGGGGUGACCUAUUACACACCUAUACUAUUCAAAAGUGAAUAUUUUUCAGCGAGACAUCUAAAAUUGGUCAAUUCUUACUAUUUCCACAUCAAAUUCCUCAAGUCAAACACUGAUUAUUCAAUUUAAAAGUCUUUUUGUUGAUUGUGAGCAUUUGAAAUAAGAAAUUUUUUAGAUCUUUCUUUUUCUGUGUAAAAAGUUUCUGGAUUUUGCACAAAAUUUAACUUUUUAAUGUAUGUUCAUAGAUCUUUCUUCUCUCUUAGAAAAAUUCUCUCUAGAUUUUCUUCAAAAUCGGUAAUAAUAAAUCGAGCAUUAAUUUUUCAAUUGUUUGACAAAGAUCUUUGCGAAUAAAUAUUGGAAGUUUUUGUCAUUCUCCUCUUUGAGCUUGAAUGAAAUUUGUGAUAAUCUUUUGUGGUGGGUUUGGUGAUGGGUUAUAAAAUUAGUGGUGGUGUGGCUUUUAAUUUCGAUAAUGACAAUGAAACUCGUGAUUUUGAUGUGGAUGCUGAAAUUUAUUGUUAUGAUUGUGAUGAAUUUCAAUGGUAGCGAUGUGGUUUCGAUGGUGAAUUUAGUUAAAUUUAUUAUGGUUGUUAUCAAUUUUUGAUGAUGGCAGUGAUUGUGGAAGAUUCUGGUGGUGAAUUUGGUUGUGGGUGGUGAAAUCUAUGGUGAUGGAGAAGUGAAUUUGGUGAUAGUAGCAACAAUGGUAGUGGUUUAAUGGUGGAUGUGAUGGUGUAUAGGGAAGAAGAAACAAUUGGGCGAUAUGAAUUUUCUUUUUUGAAAUCUGACGUAAGUAUUGAUGUGGUAGUGAUAUGGUAAUGACGUGACGCGAGUGUGAAACACUUUCUCAUCAUCUGCCUGGUUGUAUGUUCGUCAGGGUUGGAAUAAAUUCACUUUUAAAUAAUUCAGGUAUGUAAUAGGUCGUCACAAUAAUUUAAGCGUGUAACUGACUUUUCGUAACAAGUUCAGGGGGGGAAUUUAUGCCUUUCCCAAAUUUAAAUUUCUGUUGAGAUAUUUUAGGUUGUCCAAUAUGUAUUUGCUGGGAAGUAGGCUUACAUUAAUUAAAAUAUUUUAUUUAUAUAUUACGAAAAAGGGUAAAAAAUGCUCCUUCUCUUUAUCUAUUAGGAAAAAUUUCUUGUUAUACAACUGGGAUAAAGUUAUAUUAUUGUUAUACAUUAUGUACUAUUAAAAAAUUAGUAAAUAUUGUUAUAAUAUGUUUUGCUCAUAAGUAAGCUAAUAUAGAAACUUAUUUGUCAUUUGUUUUUAUUUUAUUUUUAAUUUCAAUUUUAAAUAGCAAAUAAAUGCAGCGAUGGGAUUGAAGGUAGAAAUGAAACAUAUCUUUCUAAAUUUAAGUAAAAAUAAAUAGAGUAGAAGUAGGGGUGUCGACGAAAUCAAAGAAUAUAUAGACUGGUAGAGGCCCUCUAUGUAGUUGUCUAUUUAGGGCGAUCGAUCUACAUCUUUCCCCAUAGCCCUGAGGUUGUGUCUCGAUCUCCUAUGUGCUAAAUAUAAGGGACUAGUUCCUAUAGAGAUUCCCCUUGGUCUAACAGACGGUUCGGUUGGUUAUUUUUAAAAAAAUUACAUCAUCUCAAUUUUCCGGCUAUUUUAUGAUGUAUAAUCAAAAUUAAUUUUUUUAAAACCAUCUCAAUCCCUAUUUAGGACACAAGCAAUACAAAAUUAGCCUCUUUUUUUUGUUGUCUUGUAGAUAUUUUAAGUUAUUAAUUAUUGUAAUUUAUAGUACUUUCUAUGUAAUUUUUAAAUAACAUAUGUUACUUUCUAUGUUCCAAUUUAUGUGCCACUAUAAAAUUUUGAGAGUUAACCAAUUUUUUUAUAUGUCUUUUCAAUAUUUUAAGUUGUUAAUUAUUGUGAUUUAUAGUAAUUUUUAGGUCAUUCUCAAAUAAUAUAUGUUACUCUCUUGGUCCCAUUUUAUCAGGCACAGUAAAAUUUUGAGAGUCAACUAAAUUUUUAUGUCUUUUAAAUUACUCAUAUUAAUUAUUGUAAUCUAUAGUAUUGUUUAUGUAGUUCUCAAAUAUAUAACAAACUAAAAUAAAAUAAAAUAAACAAACAAAUUAAAAUGAAAAAAAUAAAAAAAUGACCACGAUAAAAAGAAAGCAAUAAGGUUGUUCCAUGAUAAAGCAAGAGAGUGGGUCCGAUUAUGACAUAUAAACAUAAUUGGCAAUGUGUUAGCCAUCACAAAACAAAGGGUACAAUUGUCCAAGGAAAGAACUUAGAAGUGGUUGUGUCUCAUAAAAGAGAAGAAGCAGCUUUGAAAAAGAAUGAAUUGACCAAAAUAGCCUCAAAUUGAAUAUCAAUUUCAAAUAACAUACAUGUUAACGGAGAGGAGGUUGCUAUUUGUCCUUUUUUAGUAGUAAAAUAAUAGUGAAAUAUAUAUUGUUGCGAAAUAGAGUUAGAACAGAAGGAGUAUACCUUGUAUCCUAACUCUAAUCAUAUUCUAACUCUAAUGUAUCUCCUUAGAUUUGUAGUUGUACUAGGAUUCUACUUGUGGCCGUAUGUAAUUGUAUAAGUAGCAUAAGUGAAACGACCCCAAAAAUGCCCGAAAAUGUGCUUCGGAAACACCUAUAAUUGUAAUUUCCAUAUAUCUCAAAAUCCGUUUCGUUUUUCGAAAAUCCGACUUCAUAUUCUUGUUUAGGGGGUCAAAUUGAGUGGGAAAUGGGUCUAACCCAAAUUUUAGAGCAACCGUAUCAAAAUCCGAAAUUUCCAAGUGAAGCCUUUUUCGAGGGUCUACUUUGGAGGGUCAUAUCUCCUAGCACACAAAUUAUUGGGUGGCCAAUAACAUAUCCAUGGAAAGCCCUUUGAGUUAGCUACCUAACGCACUUCGUUUCACCUCAUUCGGAGUUCGGACGAAGAAGUUAUGCCCAUUUUCGUAAAAUCUGUCCGGCAGGAAAGGCAAUUUCCAGUGAGCGUUUUUACUGUUCACCCGCCUCAUUUUUUUUUCUAAGUGUUGGACCAUUUUUCCAAAGGGCAUAUGUUAUUUCCUAUAUACCAUUAGUUCAAUUCCCAUCUCUAAAACAUUUCCCAAAACACCUCUCCCAUACUUAGACACAUUUUCUCUCAAGUUCUCUCAAGAACCCUAAUCCAAAACCUUCCUCAAGAUUGAAGAGACUCUUGCUCCAAGUUCCAAGCUUCCAUUGAAGACACUCUCAAGACCUUCAUAAAAACUCAAGGUAUGUGGUGUUGAACUCAUGGGUCCUUCCACCCAUAGUGCCUAGACUCUAUUCUACUCACUAAUUCAUGGUUUAAGUUAAGAUUCAUAAAUUAGUCUUGUUCUUUGUAAUAAUUUCCUGCACAUUGAAUUUUAAACAUGAAAAGUGAUUGUUUUGAGCAUGUUGUGACCCUAGAACUUGAACCUAAAUUUGGAAUGGAUGUGGAGAUUUUCAUGUGGUAUUGUGGGUGUUAAAAAGGUGUUGUUGUAGGUUGUUCACUGGUUUGGCUGCAUAAUUACUACCCUAUUUUCCAUGCUCUUUGAUUCCAUUACAUGCCUUCAAGGUGUUUGACAAAAUGUCCAACUAUGGAGAAUUGAUGAAUCGAUGCUUUAAAGCUUGAGUUAUGAGAUGUAUGGAAAUCCAGAGAUGUGUUGAUGACAAACUAAGCUUGUGUAUAUGUUCAUUCCAUACGUGAGAUUGCAUUAGAGCCUAAUGGGAAUUUCCUAUAUAAAGUGUUGCAUGACCAUGCCCGGUCCGGGGGAAAAGAACCGGACAACCAUGUGAGAGGUUUAUAUCUCACCACCUAGGAUGCUUGGGGUGUGACCAACAUCAACCAUGUGAGAGGUUUAUAUCUCACCACCUAGGAUGCUUGGGGUGUGACCAACAUCAACCAUGUGAGAGGUUUAUAUCUCACCACCUAGGAUGCUUGGGGUGUGACCAACAUCAACCAUGUGAGAGGUUUAUAUCUCACCACCUAGGAUGCUUGGGGUGUGACCAACAUCAACCAUGUGAGAGGUUUAUAUCUCACCACCUAGGAUGCUUGGGGUGUGACCAACAUCAACCAUGUGAGAGGUUUAUAUCUCACCACCUAGGAUGCUUGGGGUGUGACCAACAUCAACCAUGUGAGAGGUUUAUAUCUCACCACCUAGGAUGCUUGGGGUGUGACCAACAUCAACCAUGUGAGAGGUUUAUAUCUCACCACCUAGGAUGCUUGGGGUGUGACCAACAUCAACCAUGUGAGAGGUUUAUAUCUCACCACCUAGGAUGCUUGGGGUGUGACCAACAUCAACCAUGUGAGAGGUUUAUAUCUCACCACCUAGGAUGCUUGGGGUGUGACCAACAUCAACCAUGUGAGAGGUUUAUAUCUCACCACCUAGGAUGCUUGGGGUGUGACCAACAUCAACCAUGUGAGAGGUUUAUAUCUCACCACCUAGGAUGCUUGGGGUGUGACCAACAUCAACCAUGUGAGGGGUUUAUACCUUGCCACCAGGGUGUCCGGGUGUGAACGGCAUCCCCCAUCCUAAGUUGGGGUUAUAGAUUGGUUGGAUCAUGCAUACACAUAUGAUAUCUACUAUUAGUAUAGAGUUACUUAAACAUGUUUUGACUUCACUUUGAUCAUGCAUCCUCAUAUUGUUAUUCAUAAUGCCUAUGAAACUAUUUCUUGUAUUUCGAUUGUGUCCUUGUUUAUUGUUGUGUUGCACCCCGCAUACUUAGUACAUUCCAAGUACUAACGCAUAUUUUGCCUACAUGAUGUCACCAUGUAGGGACCGGAGUUACUCUUGAUCCUUCUCUUCAUUCACGUGGCUAGUACGGUGCUUAUCCGAGUUGUUGGUGAGUCCUCAAUGAUUCGAGGGCUAUGUUAUGUUUCCUACUCCUAUGUUUUGAGACUUUAGCUUGUAAUUGUAUUUUGACUAUGAGGGGAGCCGGUAGAAUGUCAUGGCCCCGUCCUAUCUAUGUAUGUAGAGGUGUGCGUUGGACAAGUAUUUUGUAAAUGAGCUUGACUCUUGUUCUAUGAUGUCAUUUUGAAAUGGUUGCCCUUAGUCCCUAUUUCCCGUUAAUUAAUGUUGAAUGUACUUCCGCGACCGAUGAAGUGUGAUGACAAGUUUGAGAGGCUUGUUUGGGGUUCCUUCGGGUUCCUCAUUCGCCAUGUCACGUCUAGGCCCUAGGCUUGGGUCGUGACAAUAAGUAUUGUACACAAUUAUCAAGAAAUAAUAUCCUCCCUUCUCUCUGGUUAUGUGUUUUCUACAUGGUAUCAAAGCAUUGACACACACAAACCUAUGCUUCAUCAAACUUGUUCAAGAACCAAUGGCUUCCUCUUCACAGCCUCUUUGUCCCUCUCAACUUCUUCAUUGCACCAUCUUAUGGUUGCAUGUCCUAUCAAACUUAAACCUACCAAUUACCUUAAAUGGAGAACACAAAUUCUACAACUGAUGCAAGUAAUGAAGGUGACUAAGUUGGUCCAAGAAAACAAAGCUGAUGACACCAGCCAAAGAUAACAAUGGAAAGGCAGUUGAUGGACAAGAGAAAGCUUCCGAUAGUAAUUGGGAUGAAGAAGAUGUUCUGCUAAGAACCUGGAUCUCAGGAACUAUGACUGAAGAGAGCAUGUAUCUCAUUGUGGGCUGCUCAACAGCCAAGGGGAUGUGGGAAUGCUUGGAGGAAGCCUACCUUCAAGCAACAAAGGAUAAAGAGUUCCAACUUAAGCAACAAUUGCUAAACAUUAAGUUAGGAACCAAGAAACUUGAUGAGUACUUGAAAGAAUUCAAAGGCAUAUGUGAUGGACUUGCUGCCAUACACAAGCCAGUUAAUGAAGACAACAAAGUCAUUAACUUUGCCCGAGGACUGGGUCCAAAGUACAAGACAUUUAGGACUGUUAUGUUAGGAAAGCCCCCUAUCCUACCUUCAAUCAAUUUGUCAAUACUCUUAGAGGUUUUGACAUGAGAGAAUAAGAGGAAGAGGUGCCCCAACAAGACUAUAACAUGACCUUUACUUCACAGAGAGGUAGGGGUCGAGGGAGUUACAAUCACAUGAGAGGUAACUCUAGUUUUAACUCAAGAGGAAGAGGAUUCAGGGAUGCUAGACACUCAAAUAAUAAUCAAAACAGUCAUAAUAUGCAGACUACAAACACUGAGAAAGUAAAACCCAUGCCUACCCUAUGUCAAAUAUGUGGUAGAAAUAAUCAUACUGCUUUGAAAUGCUUCUAUACGUGGAAUUACUCUUAUCAAGCUGAAGAUGAUCUUCCGCAGGCCCUAUCCUCCAUGAACAUGCAGAAUAUCAUAGGUGAAGAUGCUGCAAUGUAUGUGGAUUCUGGUGCAACGAACUCACAUGACAAACACAUCAGGUAAUCUAUCUGAUCUUCAAAUUUAUAAUGGGACAGACAAAAAAUUGUUGGCAAUGGUUCGCAAUUAGCAAUUACAUAUGUUGGAAAUCUCAACAAGUCAAGUUUGAAAGUUAAAGAUAUACUGGUAGUCCCUAAAAUCACAAAGAAUAUUCUUUCAAUUAGUAAACUUGCAAAAGACAAUUUUGUAACUCUUGAGUUUGAUGAAUUUGGUUUUCUUAUUAAGGACAAGAAGUCAGGAACACCACUGGCCAAGGGCUCUAAUGCAGGAUGACUCUAUCAAUUGGAAGACAACAAUCUUUUUGCCUUAACAACAACACAAGAUUGGAAGAGGUCAGAGAGUAUUUGUCACUCUAGAUUAGGACAUCUUAGUCUGAAAUCUUUAAAAAAAUUUAGUAGAGCAAUAAAUGCAUCGGUGUUUGGAGUUGGAAUAAGGUGCCCAGUAUUUGUACUAGCUGUCAAUUAGGGAAAAGUUGUAAACUUUCUUUUGAGUUGAGAAAUAAAAUUGAGCAGAUUCCUUUACACAAAAUACAUUGUGAUCUUUGGGGAUCAACACCUGUUGAGUCUUCCCAACAUAUGAAAUACUAUGUGAUCUUUGUGGAUGAUAAUACUAAAUAUACUUGGCUCUAUCUCUUUGUGGAUGAUAAUAAUAUAUAUACUUGGCUCUAUCCUUUGAAGAAGAAAUCUGAAUUCUUUGAAGUUUUUCUCAAGUUUCAACAAAUGGUAGAAAAAUAAUUUUCGAAAACUAUUAAAAUUUUCCAGUGUGAUGGAGGUGGUGAAUUUAUCCAAAUUGAGUUUGUCAAGCAUUUGGAGACCUGUGGCAUCAUUAGGCAAAUAUAUUAUCCUCACACUCCUGAGCAGAAGGGAGUUUCCAAGAGGAAACAUAGACACAUAGUGGAAACUGGGCUGACCUUGUUGUUUCAUGCUAAGUUGCCUCAGUUCUUAUGGGUUGAAGCAUUUCUAACUGUCGUGUUUCUAAUAAACAGAAUGCCUUCCUUAGUUCUAAAGCAUGGUAUCCCGUUUGUGAAGCUUUUUGGUGCCUCUCCUGAUUAUAAUAGCCUGGAAGUUUUUGGUUGGAGAUGUUAUCCUUACCUGAAGGGAUAUAAUAAGUUCUCACCAAAGACAUAUCUUUGUAUAUUUAUUGGCUAUAGUAGCCUACACAAAGGAUAUAGGUGCUACCAUCCACAUACCAGGAGGGUGUAUGUGUCUAGGCAUGUCAUAUUUGAUGAGCGCGCAUUGCCCUAUGUGCAGACUAAUAAGCAUAAUAUUAAUAUCUCACCUCAUCUUGCACUUUCCUUGAAUUUUUCUCCAUUGUGCAGAAUCCAGAUACCAGUUCAAGUGACACUAUCACUUCAGGGGAAGUGUUGGACAACUUGAAUGAAACAAUUGCACCAACAACUAUAACAGUGGUAGACAC
Molecule: long non-coding RNA, 9037 nt
Filed under: Solanum tuberosum (potato)
Lineage: Eukaryota; Viridiplantae; Streptophyta; Magnoliopsida; Solanales; Solanaceae
Description: long non-coding RNA (STUB_LNC002666)
Source: RNAcentral